This 501-nucleotide ribosomal RNA is filed under the name Cryptoblepharus voeltzkowi (Voeltzkow's snake-eyed skink). RNAcentral's name for it is "partial 16S ribosomal RNA". It matches the Rfam family "Bacterial large subunit ribosomal RNA", at positions 1851 to 2607 of the family's 2925-position model. The record is from RNAcentral. Lineage: Eukaryota; Metazoa; Chordata; Lepidosauria; Squamata; Scincidae.
GGUGCUGCCUGCCCAGUGAAACACUUUAAACGGCCGCGGUAUCCUAACCGUGCAAAGGUAGCGUAAUCACUUGUCUUUUAAAUAAAGACUAGUAUGAACGGCUAAAUGAGGACAGAUCUGUCUCUUACAAUUGACCAGUGAAACUGAUCUUCAAGUCCAAAAGCUUGAAUAAACACAUAAGACGAGAAGACCCUGUGGAGCUUCAAACCUACACUAUAUUAACCAAAUAGCACCGGUUUUAAGUUGGGGCGACUUCGGAAUACAACCUAACUUCCGAGCACAGGGCCAUCACACCCUCACCAAGACCGACAGGUCAAAGAAAAUCCGACCCAGUCACACUGACCAACGAACCAAGUUACCCCAGGGAUAACAGCGCUAUCUUCUUCAAGAGUCCCUAUCGACAAGAAGGUUUACGACCUCGAUGUUGGAUCAGGACACCCAAAUGGUGCAGCAACUAUUAAAGGUUCGUUUGUUCAACGAUUAACAGUCCUACGUGAUCUG